This 78-nucleotide transfer RNA is filed under the name Flavobacteriales bacterium. RNAcentral describes it as "tRNA-Asp". It matches the Rfam family "tRNA". From Rfam's summary of the family: Transfer RNA (tRNA) molecules are approximately 80 nucleotides in length. Their secondary structure includes four short double-helical elements and three loops (D, anti-codon, and T loops). Further hydrogen bonds mediate the characteristic L-shaped molecular structure. tRNAs have two regions of fundamental functional importance: the anti-codon, which is responsible for specific mRNA codon recognition, and the 3' end, to which the tRNAs corresponding amino acid is attached (by aminoacyl-tRNA synthetases). tRNAs cope with the degeneracy of the genetic code in two manners: having more than one tRNA (with a specific anti-codon) for a particular amino acid; and 'wobble' base-pairing, i.e. permitting non-standard base-pairing at the 3rd anti-codon position. Lineage: Bacteria; Pseudomonadati; Bacteroidota; Flavobacteriia; Flavobacteriales. The record is from RNAcentral.
GGUCUGGUAGUUCAGUUGGUUUAGAAUACCUGCCUGUCACGCAGGGGGUCGCGGGUUCGAGUCCCGUCCAGACCGCAA